GACGAACGCUGGCGGCGUGCUUAACACAUGCAAGUCGAACGGAAAGGCCCUGCUUUUGUGGGGUGCUCGAGUGGCGAACGGGUGAGUAACACGUGAGUAACCUGCCCUUGACUUUGGGAUAACUUCAGGAAACUGGGGCUAAUACCGGAUAGGAGCUCCUGCUGCAUGGUGGGGGUUGGAAAGUUUCGGCGGUUGGGGAUGGACUCGCGGCUUAUCAGCUUGUUGGUGGGGUAGUGGCUUACCAAGGCUUUGACGGGUAGCCGGCCUGAGAGGGUGACCGGGGCCGUGGGGAGAGAGAGCCGGCCAAUGCUCCAGCGGGAGGCAGCAGAGGAGAAAAUCGCGGAGGGGGCGGAGGCCGGAUGCGGCAACGCCGGGUGGGGGAUGGCGGCAUGCGGCUUGGCAACCGGGGUCGCCGGCGACGAGGGGGGAGUGAGGGAAAGGGGUAAAGAAGCACGGGCUAACGACGAGCCAGAAGCAGGGGUAAGCCGCGGAAGAGCACCCGGCCGACC
Molecule: ribosomal RNA, 509 nt
Filed under: uncultured bacterium
Lineage: Bacteria
Description: partial 16S ribosomal RNA
Rfam family: Bacterial small subunit ribosomal RNA (bases 13-373)
Source: RNAcentral